UACUACGGGAGGCAGCAGUGGGGAAUAUUGGACAAUGGGCGAAAGCCUGAUCCAGCCAUGCCGCGUGUGUGAAGAAGGUCUUCGGAUUGUAAAGCACUUUAAGUUGGGAGGAAGGGCAGUAAGUUAAUACCUUGCUGUUUUGACGUUACCGACAGAAUAAGCACCGGCUAACUUCGUGCCAGCAGCCGCGGUAAUACGAAGGGUGCAAGCGUUAAUCGGAAUUACUGGGCGUCAAGCGCGCGUAGGUGGUUCGUUAAGUUGGAUGUGAAAGCCCCGGGCUCAACCUGGGAACUGCAUCCAAAACUGGCGAGCUAGAGUAUGGCAGAGGGUGGUGGAAUUUCCUGUGUAGCGGUGAAAUGCGUAUAUUUAGGAAGGGACACCAUUGCGGAAAGGCGACCCCCUGGGCUAAUACUGACACUGAGGUGCGAAAACGUGGGGAGCAAACAGGAAUAA
RNAcentral lists this ribosomal RNA (453 nucleotides) under bacterium A5T_VP6_G6. RNAcentral's name for it is "bacterial SSU rRNA". It matches the Rfam family "Bacterial small subunit ribosomal RNA", at positions 337 to 781 of the family's 1533-position model. The record is from RNAcentral.